GACGAACGCUGGCGGCGUGCUUAACACAUGCAAGUCGAACGGAAAGGCCCUGCUUUUGUGGGGUGCUCGAGUGGCGAACGGGUGAGUAACACGUGAGUAACCUGCCCUUGACUUUGGGAUAACUUCAGGAAACUGGGGCUAAUACCGGAUAGGAGCUCCUGCUGCAUGGUGGGGGUUGGAAAGUUUCGGCGGUUGGGGAUGGACUCGCGGCUUAUCAGAUUGUUGGUGGGGUAGUGGCUUACCAAGGCUUUGACGGGUAGCCGGCCUGAGAGGGUGACCGGCCUCAUUGGGACUGAGAUACGGCCCAGACUCCUACGGGAGGCAGCAGUGGGGAAUAUUGCACAAUGGGCGGAAGCCUGAUGCAGCAACGCCGCGUGCGGGAUGACGGCCUUCGGGUUGUAAACCGCUUUCGCCUGUGACGAAGCGUGAGUGACGGUAAUGGGUAAAGAAGCACCGGCUAACUACGUG
Molecule: ribosomal RNA, 468 nt
Filed under: uncultured bacterium
Lineage: Bacteria
Description: partial 16S ribosomal RNA
Rfam family: Bacterial small subunit ribosomal RNA
Source: RNAcentral